This 253-nucleotide ribosomal RNA is filed under the name uncultured bacterium. Its description in RNAcentral is "partial 16S ribosomal RNA". It matches the Rfam family "Bacterial small subunit ribosomal RNA", at positions 524 to 776 of the family's 1533-position model. The record is from RNAcentral.
GACGUAGGGGGCCAGCGUUGCUCGGAAUUACUGGGUGUAAAGGGUUCGUAGGCGGUGUGGCAAGUCGGGGGUGAAAUCUCUGGGCUCAACCCAGAGUCUGCUUCCGAAACUGCUGUGCUUGAGUGUGGGAGAGGCGCGUGGAAUUGCAGGUGUAGCGGUGAAAUGCGUAGAUAUCUGCAGGAACACCCGUGGCGAAAGCGGCGCGCUGGACCACUACUGACGCUGAGGAACGAAAGCUAGGGGAGCAAAUGGG